RNAcentral lists this ribosomal RNA (455 nucleotides) under uncultured organism. Its description in RNAcentral is "bacterial SSU rRNA". It matches the Rfam family "Bacterial small subunit ribosomal RNA", at positions 346 to 794 of the family's 1533-position model. The record is from RNAcentral.
GUGCACCAGGCGAGAAUUUUUCUCAAUGGGGGCAACCCUGAAGGAGCGACGCCGCGUGGAGGAUGAAGGCUUUCGGGUUGUAAACUCCUGUCAUUUGAGAACAAGUGUUAGCAAGUAACUACUGCUAGCUUGAUAGUAUCAGAAGAGGAAGGGACGGCUAACUCUGUGCCAGCAGCCGCGGUAAUACAGAGGUCCCAAGCGUUGUUCAGAUUCAUUGGGCGUAAAGGGUGCGUAGGUGGCGCCGUCAGUGGGGUGUGAAAUCUCGGGGCUUAACUCCGAAACUGCAUUCCAUACUGCGGUGCUUGAGGACUGGAGAGGAGACUGGAAUUUACGGUGUAGCAGUGAAAUGCGUAGAGAUCGUAAGGAAGACCAGUGGCGAAGGCGGGUCUCCGGACAGUUCCUGACACUGAGGCACGAAGGCCAGGGGAGCGAACGGGAUUAGAUACCCCGGUAGU